UAGAAAGUAACUCCUUUGUGAGUGAUUUUAGAAUUAGCAUAGAGAAAACAUUUUUGCGAGUGAAUUUCUCUAUGCUUUUAUUAUAUCA
This 88-nucleotide antisense RNA is filed under the name Lactococcus lactis. RNAcentral's name for it is "ctRNA". It matches the Rfam family "ctRNA". From Rfam's summary of the family: Rolling circle replication plasmids contain a number of mechanisms to maintain a low copy number. Lineage: Bacteria; Bacillati; Bacillota; Bacilli; Lactobacillales; Streptococcaceae. RNAcentral also lists the same sequence under 1 other name. The record is from Rfam by way of RNAcentral.